Small nuclear RNA from Molossus molossus (Pallas's mastiff bat), 104 nucleotides. The record is from RefSeq and is a predicted model, not a curated record. NCBI's taxonomy places the organism in Eukaryota, Metazoa, Chordata, Mammalia, Chiroptera, Molossidae.
GUGGCUUUGGCAGCACGUAUGCUAAAAUCGGUACAGCACAGAGAAAAUUAGUACAGCUCCUGUGCAAGGCUGACAGGCAAAUCCAUGAAGUGGUCCAUAUUUUU